This 1411-nucleotide ribosomal RNA is filed under the name uncultured prokaryote. RNAcentral describes it as "partial 16S ribosomal RNA". It matches the Rfam family "Bacterial small subunit ribosomal RNA", at positions 8 to 1385 of the family's 1533-position model. The record is from RNAcentral.
AGAGUUUGAUCAUGGCUCAGAACGAACGCUGGCGGCGUGGAUUAGGCAUGCAAGUCGAACGUGAAAGUGCCAAAGGGGUAACCCGGAGGCGCGAGUAAAGUGGCGAACGGGAGAGUAACGCGUGGGAAACCUGCCCUGGAGUGGGGGAUAACAGUCCUAACGGGCUGCUAAUACCGCAUGAUGCAACAGAUCGCAUGUCUUCGUAGUUAAAGGAGGCCUCUGUUGAAUGCUUCCGCUUAAGAAUGGUCCCGCGACCUAUGAGCUUGUUGGUGGGGUAACGGCCUACCAAGGCAGCGAUGGGUAGCCGGCUUGAGAGAGUGGUCGGCCACACUGGGACUGAGAUACGGCCCAGACUCCUACGGGAGGCAGCAGUCGAGAGGCUUCGGCAAUGGGGGAAACCCUGACCGAGCGACGCCGCGUGGGUGAUGAAGGUCUUUGGAUCGUAAAACCCUGUCAGGUGGGAUGAAACCCUAUUGGUUAAUACCCGGGUAGUUUGACAGUACCACCAGAGGAAGCUCCGGCUAACUCCGUGCCAGCAGCCGCGGUAACACGGGGGGAGCAAGCGUUGUUCGGAUUCAUUGGGCGUAAAGAGCUCGUAGGCGGCUCCGUAAGUCAAGGGUGAAAGACCACGGCUCAACCGUGGAAACGCCUUUGAAACUACGGAGCUUGAGGCCGGGAGAGGAAAGUGGAAUUCCUGGAGUAGCGGUGAAAUGCGUAGAUAUCAGGAGGAACACCAGUGGCGAAGGCGACUUUCUGGACCGGUUCUGACGCUGAGGAGCGAAAGCCAGGGGAGCGAACAGGAUUAGAUACCCUGGUAGUCCUGGCCGUAAACGAUGGGCACUAGGUGUGGGGGGAUCGACCCCUUCCGUGCCGCAGUUAACGCAUUAAGUGCCCCGCCUGGGAAGUACGAUCGCAAGAUUAAAACUCAAAGGAAUUGACGGGGGCCCGCACAAGCGGUGGAGCAUGUGGUUCAAUUCGACGCAACGCGAAGAACCUUACCUGGGCUAGACAACAGCGGACAACCCUAGAAAUAGGGUCUUUUCCCUUCGGGGACCGCUGGUUCAGGUGCUGCAUGGCUGUCGUCAGCUCGUGCCGUGAGGUGUUGGGUUAAGUCCCGCAACGAGCGCAACCCUCGUACUUAGUUGCCACCAUUCAGUUGGGCACUCUAGGUAGACUGCCGGCGUUAAGCCGGAGGAAGGUGGGGACGACGUCAAGUCAUCAUGGCCCUUAUGUCCAGGGCCACACACGUGCUACAAUGGACGGUACAAAGGGUCGCGAACCCGCGAGGGGGAGCCAAUCCCAAAAAGCCGUUCUCAGUUCGGAUUGGAGUCUGCAACUCGACUCCAUGAAGUUGGAAUCGCUAGUAAUCGCGGAUCAGCAUGCCGCGGUGAAUACGUUCCCGGGCCUUGUA